UUUAAGGUCUAACCUGCCCUAUGAGGAUUUAAAUGGCCGCGGUAUUUUGACCGUGCAAAGGUAGCAUAAUAAUUAGUUUUUUAAUUGAAAGCUGGAAUGAAUGGUUGGACGAGAAAAUUACUGUCUCGGUUUUAUUUAUAUUUAAUUUUAUUUUUAAGUUAAAAAGCUUAAAUUUUUUUAAAAGACGAGAAGACCCUAUAGAGUUUUAUAUAAUUUUGUAUAAAUUUUUAUUAUGAUUUUUUAUGUUUUUAUAUAAAGUUGUAUUUUGUUGGGGUGACAGAAAAAUUUAAUUAACUUUUUAUUUGUGUUUUCAUUGAUUUAUGAAUAUUUGAUCCGUUUUUUUUUCGAUUAUAAGAUUUAAUUACCUUAGGGAUAACAGCGUAAUUUUUUUUUAGAGUUCUUAUCGAAAGAAGAGUUUGCGACCUCGAUGUUGGAUUAAAAUAAAUGCUUGGUGUAGAGGCUAGGUAAUUAGGUCUGUUCGACCUUUAAAAUUUUACA
This 498-nucleotide ribosomal RNA is filed under the name Balbera sp. DA4307. Its description in RNAcentral is "partial 16S large subunit ribosomal RNA". It matches the Rfam family "Bacterial large subunit ribosomal RNA", at positions 1844 to 2600 of the family's 2925-position model. The record is from RNAcentral. Lineage: Eukaryota; Metazoa; Arthropoda; Insecta; Coleoptera; Scarabaeidae.